RNAcentral lists this ribosomal RNA (1582 nucleotides) under Photorhabdus luminescens. RNAcentral's name for it is "bacterial SSU rRNA". It matches the Rfam family "Bacterial small subunit ribosomal RNA". Lineage: Bacteria; Pseudomonadati; Pseudomonadota; Gammaproteobacteria; Enterobacterales; Morganellaceae. The record is from RNAcentral.
GGCGGACGGGUGAGUAAUGUCUGGGAAACUGCCUGAUGGAGGCCUGGCUCAGAUUGAACGCUGGCGGCAGGCCUAACACAUGCAAGUCGAGCGGUAACAGGAAAGUGCUUGCGCUUUUGCUGACGAGCGGCGGACGGGUGAGUAAUGUCUGGGGAUCUGCCCGAGGGCGGGGGAUAACCACUGGAAACGGUGGCUAAUACCGCAUAAUGUCGCGAGACCAAAGUGGGGGACCUGAAAGGGCCUCACGCCAUCGGAUGAACCCAGAUGGGAUUAGCUAGUAGGUAGGGUAACGGCCUACCUAGGCGACGAUCUCUAGCUGGUCUGAGAGGAUGACCAGCCACACUGGGACUGAGACACGGCCCAGACUCCUACGGGAGGCAGCAGUGGGGAAUAUUGCACAAUGGGCGCAAGCCUGAUGCAGCCAUGCCGCGUGUAUGAAGAAGGCCUUCGGGUUGUAAAGUACUUUCAGCGGGGAGGAAGGAAUUGGCUUGAAGAGAGUUAAUUUUUGACGUUACCCGCAGAAGAAGCACCGGCUAACUCCGUGCCAGCAGCCGCGGUAAUACGGAGGGUGCAAGCGUUAAUCGGAAUGACUGGGCGUAAAGCGCACGCAGGCGGUGAAUUAAGUUAGAUGUGAAAUCCCCGGGCUCAACCUGGGAAUGGCAUCUAAGACUGGUUGACUGGAGUCUCGUAGAGGGGGGUAGAAUUCCAUGUGUAGCGGUGAAAUGCGUAGAGAUGUGGAGGAAUACCGGUGGCGAAGGCGGCCCCCUGGACGAAGACUGACGCUCAGGUGCGAAAGCGUGGGGAGCAAACAGGAUUAGAUACCCUGGUAGUCCACGCUGUAAACGAUGUCGAUUUGGAGGUUGCGGUCUUGAGCUGUGGCUUCCGGAGCUAACGCGUUAAAUCGACCGCCUGGGGAGUACGGCCGCAAGGUUAAAACUCAAAUGAAUUGACGGGGGCCCGCACAAGCGGUGGAGCAUGUGGUUUAAUUCGAUGCAACGCGAAGAACCUUACCUACUCUUGACAUCCUCAGAAUUUGCUGGAGACAGCGAAGUGCCUUCGGGACCUGAGAGACAGGUGCUGCAUGGCUGUCGUCAGCUCGUGUUGUGAAAUGUUGGGUUAAUUCCCGCAACGAGCGCAACCCUUAUCCUUUGUUGCCAGCGCGUGAAGGCGGGAACUCAAAGGAGACUGCCGGUGAUAAACCGGAGGAAGGUGGGGAUGACGUCAAGUCAUCAUGGCCCUUACGAGUAGGGCUACACACGUGCUACAAUGGCGGAUACAAAGUGAAGCGACCUCGCGAGAGCAAGCGGAACACACAAAGUCUGUCGUAGUCCGGAUUGGAGUCUGCAACUCGACUCCAUGAAGUCGGAAUCGCUAGUAAUCGUAGAUCAGCAUGCUACGGUGAAUACGUUCCCGGGCCUUGUACACACCGCCCGUCACACCAUGGGAGUGGGUUGCAAAAGAAGUCGGUAGCUUAACCGAAAGGGGGGCGCUGACCACUUUGUGGUUCAUGACUGGGGUGAAGUCGUAACAAGGUAACCGUAGGGGAACCUGCGGGAGGGCGCUUACCACUUUGUGAUUCAUG